Molecule: ribosomal RNA, 436 nt
Filed under: uncultured bacterium
Lineage: Bacteria
Description: bacterial SSU rRNA
Rfam family: Bacterial small subunit ribosomal RNA
Source: RNAcentral
CUACGGGAGGCAGCAGUGGGGAAUAUUGCACAAUGGGCGCAAGCCUGAUGCAGCAACGCCGCGUGAACGAAGAAGGCCUUCGGGUCGUAAAGUUCUUUUCUCGAGGAAGAAGAAAUGACGGUACUCGAGGAAUAAGCACCGGCUAACUACGUGCCAGCAGCCGCGGUAAUACGUAGGGUGCAAGCGUUAUCCGGAAUCACUGGGCGUAAAGGGUGCGUAGGCGGCUAGACAAGUCAGAAGUGAAAGGCAGUGGCUCAACCACUGUAAGCUUUUGAAACUGUUUAACUUGAAUGCAGGAGAGGCAAGUGGAAUUCCUAGUGUAGCGGUGAAAUGCGUAGAUAUUAGGAGGAACACCAGUGGCGAAGGCGACUUGCUGGACUGUAAUUGACGCUGAGGCACGAAAGCGUGGGGAGCAAACAGGAUUAGAUACCCCGGU